This 494-nucleotide long non-coding RNA is filed under the name Felis catus (domestic cat). RNAcentral describes it as "lncRNA (ENSFCAG00000053610.1)". Lineage: Eukaryota; Metazoa; Chordata; Mammalia; Carnivora; Felidae. The record is from RNAcentral.
AUGGGAUCUCGUAGUGUCAACAGCCCCUUAAGCGAUAAUCCUAGACGUACUUGCCCCUCAUGCCUUUUCUUAUAUUUGCCGUUUCAGUUCCUGACGAGUGGGCGAUCUGAAAACCACCACAUUUCUUCCUAUUGUAAAGAAGCCCAAAUGGGGAGCCAGGAAAAGACCCCAGGGAUGCCGCACGCCUCGGACAACGGCGUUCCUCCCUUCUCGUACCCCGGACUUGUACGCUCACAAGAAUUUGCAGGACACCGUGCCGUGCGGGCGCUGUGCUGGCCCAGGGUGCCUGACCAGAGGGGAGGAGAGGCUGUGAAGGACAGGGACAGAAGAGGAGGGACUCGGUCACAAGCUGAGGGACGCCUGGGCCCCUAAGACCUGGAAGAGGCGGGAAGGAUCCUCCCCUCCAGCCUCUGGAGCGAGGCCCUGUGACACCGAGAAUCGGGGCCUUCUGGCCUCCCAAACUGGGAGAGAAUAAAUUGUUGUUGCUCUAAUCA